AUUUAGAGGAAGGAGAAGUCGUAACAAGGUUUCCGUAGGUGAACCUGCGGAAGGAUCAUUGUCGAAACCUGCAACGCAGAACGACCCGCGAACAAGUGAAAACCAACGCGGGCGACGGGCCCUCCGGGCCGGUCGCUCGAAGUCCAAGGCGGGGGGACGCGGGAAACCACGGGUCCUCCGCCGCGGGCACAACGAACCCCGGCGCGAACCGCGCCAAGGAAAAAGAACACAAGAGGUGUGCGCCCCCUUCGCCUGGAGACAGUGUCGCGGGGGGUCACGUCGUCGUCCAUAUUACAUAUGAAACGACUCUCGGCAACGGAUAUCUCGGCUCUCGCAUCGAUGAAGAACGUAGCGAAAUGCGAUACUUGGUGUGAAUUGCAGAAUCCCGUGAACCAUCGAGUUUUUGAACGCAAGUUGCGCCCGAGGCCGUCAGGCCGAGGGCACGCCUGCCUGGGUGUCACGCAACGUCGCCAACAAUCCCCCCACCCCCCUGCCACGUUCAGGGGACGGUGAGGGGUGGCGGAUAUUGGCCUCCCGUGCGCUCCCGCUCGCGGUUGGCCCAAAAAACAGCCCCUUGGCGAUGGCAGCCACGGCACGCGGUGGUCGGAAGCGCUCUCUAGCUCCUCAGAAACCGCUGUUGGCUGGCCUCGUCGACGGGGAGCAAGAGACCCGGACGCAAGCGUCCUCACAGAGCGACCCCAGGUCAGGCGGGAACACCCGCUGAGUUUA
Molecule: ribosomal RNA, 729 nt
Filed under: Celastrus monospermus
Lineage: Eukaryota; Viridiplantae; Streptophyta; Magnoliopsida; Celastrales; Celastraceae
Description: eukaryotic LSU rRNA
Rfam family: 5.8S ribosomal RNA (bases 305-460)
Source: RNAcentral